GGAGAGGUGCCUGAGUGGUUGAAAGGGGCACCCUGCUAAGGUGUUAGUUGCGCAAGCGACUCGGGGGUUCGAAUCCCCCCCUCUCCGCCA
This 90-nucleotide transfer RNA is filed under the name Candidatus Magasanikiibacteriota bacterium. RNAcentral's name for it is "Candidatus Magasanikbacteria bacterium tRNA-Ser". It matches the Rfam family "tRNA". From Rfam's summary of the family: Transfer RNA (tRNA) molecules are approximately 80 nucleotides in length. The record is from RNAcentral. Lineage: Bacteria; Candidatus Magasanikiibacteriota.